GACGAACCGAGCGAACGUUGUUCGGAAUCACUGGGCUCAAAGGGCGCGUAGGCGGGUGAUCAAGUCCGGGGUGAAAUCCUCCAGCUCAACUGGAGAACUGCCUCGGAUACUGGUUGCCUCGAGGAAGGUAGGGGUGUGUGGAACGUUCAGUGGAGCGGUGAAAUGCAUUGAUAUUGAACGGAACUCCGGUGGCGAAGGCGACACACGGGACCUUUUAUGACGCUGAGGCGCGAAAGCUAGGGGAGCAAACGGG
Molecule: ribosomal RNA, 253 nt
Filed under: uncultured bacterium
Lineage: Bacteria
Description: partial 16S ribosomal RNA
Rfam family: Bacterial small subunit ribosomal RNA
Source: RNAcentral